Molecule: ribosomal RNA, 492 nt
Filed under: uncultured bacterium
Lineage: Bacteria
Description: partial 16S ribosomal RNA
Rfam family: Bacterial small subunit ribosomal RNA
Source: RNAcentral
AGUGAACGCUGGCGGUAGGCCUAACACAUGCAAGUCGAACGGCAGCACAGUAAGAGCUUGCUCUUACGGGUGGCGAGUGGCGGACGGGUGAGGAAUACAUCGGAAUCUACUUUUUCGUGGGGGAUAACGUAGGGAAACUUACGCUAAUACCGCAUACGACCUACGGGUGAAAGCAGGGGAUCUUCGGACCUUGCGCGAUUGAAUGAGCCGAUGUCGGAUUAGCUAGUUGGCGGGGUAAAGGCCCACCAAGGCGACGAUCCGUAGCUGGUCUGAGAGGAUGAUCAGCCACACUGGAACUGAGACACGGUCCAGACUCCUACGGGAGGCAGCAGUGGGGAAUCUUGGACGAUGGGCGCAAGCCUGAUCCAGCCAUACCGCGUGGGUGAAGAAGGCCUUCGGGUUGUAAAGCCCUUUUGUUGGGAAAGAAAAGCAGCAGGUUAAUACCCCGCUGUUCUGACGGUACCCAAAGAAUAAGCACCGGCUAACUUCGUG